AACCUGGUUGAUCCUGCCAGUAGUCAUAUGCUUGUCUCAAAGAUUAAGCCAUGCAUGUCUAAGUAUAAAUGGUAUACAAUGAAACUGCGAAUGGCUCAUUAAAACAGUUAUAGUUUAUUUGGUAAUCAAACUUACAUGGAUAACCGUGGUAAUUCUAGAGCUAAUACAUGCUGUUGCGCCCGACUCACGAAGGGCCGUAUUUAUUAGAUAUCAGCCAAUAAGCUUCUGCUAUUGUGGUGACUCAUAGUAACUUAAUCGGAUCGCAUGGGCUUGCCCCGCGACAAACCAUUCAAGUUUCUGCCCCAUCAUGCUUUCGAUGGUAGUGUAUUGGACUACCA
This 338-nucleotide ribosomal RNA is filed under the name uncultured marine eukaryote. RNAcentral describes it as "SSU rRNA". It matches the Rfam family "Eukaryotic small subunit ribosomal RNA", at positions 1 to 346 of the family's 1831-position model. The record is from RNAcentral.